RNAcentral lists this non-coding RNA (30 nucleotides) under Mus musculus (house mouse). Lineage: Eukaryota; Metazoa; Chordata; Mammalia; Rodentia; Muridae. The record is from RNAcentral.
UAAACGUGGUUUGCCUUUUCGUUUAUUUAG